AGGUGCUUGUUAGAGCUUUCUAGUUUAAGUAGUGUAUAUGCACGUUUGAUUUUCAGUCUUUCAG
This 64-nucleotide transfer RNA is filed under the name Mytilisepta virgata. RNAcentral's name for it is "tRNA-Glu". Lineage: Eukaryota; Metazoa; Mollusca; Bivalvia; Mytilida; Mytilidae. The record is from RNAcentral.